GAAAGAUAUGUCAACAGUACAGAAAAGCAAAGAUGAACCCUUUUACCUUUGCAUAAGGAACUAGCCAGAACAAAUUUAGCAAAGAGAACUUUAGUUAAAUACCCCGAAACCAGACGAGCUACUUAUGAACAGCUAAUAGAGCAAAUUCGUCUAAGUGGCAAAAUAGUGAAAAGCCAACCAUGCCUGGUGUUAGCUGGUUUCCAGAACAGAAUUUAAGUCCAGCUUUAAAUCCUACCCAGAGAAAACCUCAUUUGCAUGUAGAUUUAAAUGUUAGUCUAAGGGGGUACAGCUUCUUAGCAUCAGGUAAAAAACCUUAGAGAGUACACAUAAUUACAUCCAUAAUUGACCUAAAAGCAGCCAUCAAUUAAGAAAGCAUUCAAGCUCACAAACCAAUAAACCACUUAAUCCCACCCUACUUAAAUAACUCCUAACAGACGAAUCUAUUUCUGUAUAGAUGCGGCACUGCUAGUAUUAGCAACGAGAACUGUUUCUCCCUGCACAAGCCCGUAUCAGAUCGAAUGCCCACUAAUAAUUAACAGUCAAAUAAGAUUUAAACUUAAUUCUAGACCUUAGGUCACAAACUGUUGCCCCGACACAGGAGUGCACACUUUAGGGGAAAGAUUAAAAAGAGUCAAAGGAACUUGGAAAACACACACCCCGCCUGUUGACCAAACACAGCACCUCCAGCGUGAAUAGCAUUAGAGGCACUGCCUGCCCAGUGACACGUUGAACGGCCGCAGCAUCCUGACCGCGCAAAGGCGGCGUAAUCAUUCGUUCCUUAAACAGGGACAUGGAGGAACGGCCACACGAGGGUUUAACUGUCUCGUGCUCUCAGUCAGUGGAACUGACCUUCCGUGAAGAGGCGGGAAUAAACAAAUAAGAUGAGAAGACCGUAGGGAGCUGUAAUUAACUAGCUCACAGGCCAUCCCGCUAAACCAACACGGGAUGAAAAACGUAUACUGAGUUCGCAAUUUCGGUUGGCGUGACCUCGGAGAACAAAAAAUCCUCUGAAAGACCUAAGCUAAGACCUAACAAAUUGAAGCAACUUAAAAAUAAUCGACCCGAUAAUAUUGAUCAAUGGAACGCGUUACCCUGGGGAUAACAGCGCAAUCCUGUUCCAGAGUUCAUAUCGCCCUACAGUAGGGCUACGACCUCGAUGUUGGUCAGGACACCCCAGUGGUGCCGCCGCUGUUAAUGGUUCGUUUGUUCCAUGAUUAAAGUCCUACGUGAUGUGAGUUCAGACCGGAGUCCUCUAGGUCGGUUUCUAUCUAUCAGAUAUUUCUCCC
RNAcentral lists this ribosomal RNA (1286 nucleotides) under Tupaia belangeri chinensis (Chinese tree shrew). RNAcentral's name for it is "Tupaia chinensis (Chinese tree shrew) Bacterial large subunit ribosomal RNA". The stretch from base 588 to 1286 matches the Rfam family "Archaeal large subunit ribosomal RNA", at positions 1423 to 2728 of the family's 2987-position model. The record is from Rfam by way of RNAcentral. Lineage: Eukaryota; Metazoa; Chordata; Mammalia; Scandentia; Tupaiidae.